This 499-nucleotide ribosomal RNA is filed under the name uncultured bacterium. Its description in RNAcentral is "partial 16S ribosomal RNA". It matches the Rfam family "Bacterial small subunit ribosomal RNA", at positions 28 to 507 of the family's 1533-position model. The record is from RNAcentral.
GAUGAACGCUGGCGGCGUGCCUAAUACAUGCAAGCCGAGCGAACAGACGAGAGUGCUUGCACUCUCUGACGUUAGCGGCGGACGGGUGAGUAACACGUGGGUAACCUACCUAUAAGACUGGGAUAACUUCGGGAAACCGGAGCUAAUACCGGAUAAUAUUUAGCUUCGCAUGAAGCAGUAGUGAAAGACGGUUCUGCUGUCACUUAUAGAUGGACCCGCGGUGUAUUAGCUAGUUGGUGAGGUAACGGCUCACCAAGGCAACGAUACAUAGCCGACCUGAGAGGGUGAUCGGCCACACUGGGACUGAGACACGGCCCAGACUCCUACGGGAGGCAGCAGUAGGGAAUCUUCCGCAAUGGACGAAAGUCUGACGGAGCAAUGCCGCGUGAGUGAAGAAGGUUUUCGGAUCGUAAAACUCUGUUGUAAGGGAAGAACAAGUACGUUAGUAACUGAACGUACCUUGACGGUACCUUACCAGAAAGCCACGGCUAACUACGUG